This 425-nucleotide ribosomal RNA is filed under the name uncultured cyanobacterium. RNAcentral's name for it is "bacterial SSU rRNA". It matches the Rfam family "Bacterial small subunit ribosomal RNA", at positions 1074 to 1502 of the family's 1533-position model. The record is from RNAcentral. Lineage: Bacteria; Bacillati; Cyanobacteriota.
UUGGGUUAGUCCGCAACGAGCGCACCCUCGUUUUUAGUUGCCAUCAUUAAGUUGGGCACUCUAGAGAGACUGCCGGUGACAAACCGGAGGAAGGUGGGGAUGACGUCAAGUCAGCAUGCCCCUUACGUCUUGGGCUACACACGUACUACAAUGCUGUGGACAGAGGGCAGCAAGCUCGCGAGAGCAAGCUAAUCCCAUAAACCACGGCUCAGUUCAGAUUGCAGGCUGCAACUCGCCUGCAUGAAGGAGGAAUCGCUAGUAAUCGCAGGUCAGCAUACUGCGGUGAAUACGUUCCCNGGGCUUNUNAACACCNCCCGCCACACCAUGGGAGUUGGCCACGCCCGAAGUCGUUACUCCAACCGUUCGCGGAGGAGGGCGCCGAAGGCAGGGCUGAUGACUGGGGUGAAGUCGUAACAAGGUAACCA